AGUGAACGCUGGCGGCAGGCCUAACACAUGCAAGUCGAGCGGAUGAACAGAACGUGCUCGUGGUUUCGGCUGCCGACUGGUGGGUAAGUCCGAGGAAUCUGCCUGUUAAUUUUUUAUAACGUGCUAAAGCGGGCGCUAAUACCGCAUUCGUCCUUAGGAAGAACGGGGGAGAUCUUCGGACCUCACGCUCUCAGGUGAUCCUAGGUCGGAUUAGCUAGUUGGUGGGGUAAAGGCCUACCAAGGCGACGAUCCGUAACUGGUCUGAGAGGAUGAUCAGUCACACUGGAACUGAGACACGGUCCAGACUCCUACGGGAGGCAGCAGUGGGGAAUAUUGGACAAUGGGCGAAAGCCUGAUCCAGCCAUGCCGCGUGUGUGAAGAAGGUCUUCGGAUUGUAAAGCACUUUAAGUUGGGAGGAAGGGCAGUAAGUUAAUACCCUGCUGUUUUGACGUUACCAAAAGAAUAAGCACCGGCUAACUUCGUG
This 484-nucleotide ribosomal RNA is filed under the name uncultured bacterium. RNAcentral describes it as "partial 16S ribosomal RNA". It matches the Rfam family "Bacterial small subunit ribosomal RNA", at positions 29 to 507 of the family's 1533-position model. The record is from RNAcentral.